AGUCAUAUGCUUGUCUCAAAGAUUAAGCCAUGCAUGUCUAAGUAUAAGCAAUUAUACCGCGAAACUGCGAAUGGCUCAUUAUAUAAGUUAUCGUUUAUUUGAUAAUACUUUACUACUUGGAUAACCGUGGUAAUUCUAGAGCUAAUACAUGCUAAAAAUCCCGACUUCGGAAGGGUUGUAUUUAUUAGAUUAAAAACCAAUGCCCCUCGGGGCUCUCUGGUGAAUCAUGAUAACUAGUCGAAUCGACAGGCCUUGUGCCGGCGAUGGCUCAUUCAAAUUUCUUCCCUAUCAACUUUCGAUGUUUGGGUAUUGGCCAAACAUGGUGGCAACGGGUAACGGAGGGUUAGGGCUCGACCCCGGAGAAGGAGCCUGAGAAACGGCUACUACAUCCAAGGAAGGCAGCAGGCGCGCAAAUUACCCAAUCCCGACACGGGGAGGUAGUGACAAUAAAUACUGAUACAGGGCUCUUUUGGGUCUUGUAAUCGGAAUGAGUACAAUUUAAAUCCCUUAACGAGGAACAAUUGGAGGGCAAGUCUGGUGCCAGCAGCCGCGGUAAUUCCAGCUCCAAUAGCGUAUAUUAAAGUUGUUGUGGUUAAAAAGCUCGUAGUUGAACCUUGGGCCUGGCUGGCCGGUCCGCCUCACCGCGUGCACUGGUCCGGCCGGGCCUUUCCCUCUGCGGAACCCCAUGCCCUUCACUGGGUGUGGCGGGGAAACAGGACUUUUACUUUGAAAAAAUUAGAGUGCUCAAGGCAGGCCUAUGCUCGAAUACAUUAGCAUGGAAUAAUAGAAUAGGACGUGUGGUUCUAUUUUGUUGGUUUCUAGGACCGCCGUAAUGAUUAAUAGGGACAGUCGGGGGCAUCAGUAUUCAAUUGUCAGAGGUGAAAUUCUUGGAUUUAUUGAAGACUAACUACUGCGAAAGCAUUUGCCAAGGAUGUUUUCAUUAAUCAGGAACGAAAGUUAGGGGAUCGAAGACGAUCAGAUACCGUCGUAGUCUUAACCAUAAACUAUGCCGACUAGGGAUCGGACGAUGUUACAUUUUUGACGCGUUCGGCACCUUACGAGAAAUCAAAGUGCUUGGGCUCCAGGGGGAGUAUGGUCGCAAGGCUGAAA
This 1110-nucleotide ribosomal RNA is filed under the name Trichoderma deliquescens. Its description in RNAcentral is "SSU rRNA". It matches the Rfam family "Eukaryotic small subunit ribosomal RNA", at positions 21 to 1142 of the family's 1831-position model. Lineage: Eukaryota; Fungi; Ascomycota; Sordariomycetes; Hypocreales; Hypocreaceae. The record is from RNAcentral.